CUGGCGGCGCGCCUAACACAUGCAAGUCUAACGAGCGAGAGAGAGCUUGCUUUCUCGAGCGAGUGGCGAACGGGUGAGUAACGCGUGAGGAACCUGCCUCAAAGAGGGGGACAACAGUUGGAAACGACUGCUAAUACCGCAUAAGCCCACGGUGUCGCAUGGCACAGAGGGAAAAGGAGCAAUCCGCUUUGAGAUGGCCUCGCGUCCGAUUAGCUAGUUGGUGAGGUAACGGCCCACCAAGGCGACGAUCGGUAGCCGGACUGAGAGGUUGAACGGCCACAUUGGGUCUGAGACACGGCCCAGACUCCUACGGGAGGCAGCAGUGGGGAAUAUUGCACAAUGGGGGAAACCCUGAUGCAGCGACGCCGCGUGGAGGAAGAAGGUCUUCGGAUUGUAAACUCCUGUUGUUGGGGAAGAUAAUGACGGUACCCAACAAGGAAGUGACGGCUAACUACGUGCCAGCAGCCGCGGUAAAACGUAGGUCACAAGCGUUGUCCGGAAUUACUGGGUGUAAAGGGAGCGCAGGCGGGAAGACAAGUUGGAAGUGAAAUCUAUGGGCUCAACCCAUAAACUGCUUUCAAAACUGUUUUUCUUGAGUAGUGCAGAGGUAGGCGGAAUUCCCGGUGUAGCGGUGGAAUGCGUAGAUAUCGGGAGGAACACCAGUGGCGAAGGCGGCCUACUGGGCACCAACUGACGCUGAGGCUCGAAAGUGUGGGUAGCAAACAGGAUUAGAUACCCUGGUAGUCCACACCGUAAACGAUGAUUACUAGGUGUUGGAGGAUUGACCCCUUCAGUGCCGCAGUUAACACAAUAAGUAAUCCACCUGGGGAGUACGACCGCAAGGUUGCAACUCAAA
Molecule: ribosomal RNA, 856 nt
Filed under: uncultured bacterium
Lineage: Bacteria
Description: bacterial SSU rRNA
Rfam family: Bacterial small subunit ribosomal RNA
Source: RNAcentral